This 320-nucleotide long non-coding RNA is filed under the name Homo sapiens (human). Its description in RNAcentral is "HSALNT0301587". Lineage: Eukaryota; Metazoa; Chordata; Mammalia; Primates; Hominidae. The record is from RNAcentral.
AAAAGGGUGGUGAUUAUUUGACAUCUGACUGCUUGACAGCAAAGCAUCAAGAGCCAACUGGGAGCCGGGAUGGGAAACUACUAAAGUUUGAUGCACCAGACUUUGGCCUGAUGCGCUCUCAGCAAAAUGUACAGAGGAGAUGGCCACUUGGUCUUUGGGAGCCCCUGGCUCUCUCUUUUUAAUGACACUAGCUGCUCUUAGCGCCCACUACAGGAAAUGAAGCAAUGGAAGAAGCGCACCUCAUGUGAAAGCAUUUGGAUUUUGCUAGGCUAUUUUCUGAGUAGUAUUUGUCCCGUGGAAAAAUACAGAAGAGGAAAUGA